RNAcentral lists this ribosomal RNA (254 nucleotides) under uncultured bacterium. RNAcentral's name for it is "partial 16S ribosomal RNA". It matches the Rfam family "Bacterial small subunit ribosomal RNA", at positions 524 to 776 of the family's 1533-position model. The record is from RNAcentral.
UACGGGGGGGGGCAAGCGUUGUUCGGAAUUACUGGGCGUAAAGGGCUCGUAGGCGGCCCUCUCAGUCGGAUGUGAAAUCCCCAGGCUUAACCUGGGAAUGGCAUCCGAUACUGGAGGGCUUGAAUUCGGGAGAGGGAUGCAGAAUUCCAGGUGUAGCGGUGAAAUGCGUAGAUAUCUGGAGGAAUACCGGUGGCGAAGGCGGCAUCCUGGACCGAGAUUGACGCUGAGGAGCGAAAGCUAGGGGAGCAAACGGG